Molecule: ribosomal RNA, 250 nt
Filed under: uncultured bacterium
Lineage: Bacteria
Description: partial 16S ribosomal RNA
Rfam family: Bacterial small subunit ribosomal RNA
Source: RNAcentral
UGGGGAAUAUUGGACAAUGGGGGAAACCCUGAUCCAGCAAUGCCGCGUGUGUGAAGAAGGCCUGCGGGUUGUAAAGCACUUUUGGCAGGGAAGAAAAGCACUGGCCGAAUACGCCAGUGUGUUGACGUAACCUGCAGAAGAAGCACCGGCUAACUCUGUGCCAGCAGCCGCGGUAAUACAGAGGGUGCAAGCGUUAAUCGGAAUUACUGGGCGUAAAGGGCGCGUAGGCGGUUAGGUAAGUCGGAUGUGA